AUGUAUAUGGUCCUGUCUGCCAGCCCUUGCUGCUACGAUAUUCCCGACCGAGUCUCUCGCCACAGCGCCCCAUCCAGCAUGUCCAUCACCUGGGACAAAAGAUCCAUCCGCAUUGAUUUUCAGCAUAUCAUCAGGCGGGGCAGUCCACUUACUUGCAUGUAUCCCAUGACAGCGGUGCGUGUCCUCCUCGCAACCUCCGCUGCUGACGCAGCAAGCUCCCCCUUCCUCAGCUUGUUGCGUAUGCUCCACCAGUGCCACCAGAAAAUUAAAAGAAAGGAAAAAGAACGAGGGGGUAGAUGGUUAUGCAGAUGCAUUCCAUCCGCCUCCGACCGCGAAUCCGCCCCGCCGGCGAGAUUGAAAUUUCUCAGCCAGCGCUUUCUCUCCUCUCCGGUAAGCACUCCAUCCGCCUCCGACCACGAAUCCGCCCCGCCGGCGAGAUUGAAAUUUCUUAGUCCUAGUUCCUCGUUUCUUCCCUCUGCUCACGCGGUGAGAGAGGCCUCUUCGAUCGGGCGGAGAUGCGCGGGUUGUCAGUCUUUGCGCUCGAUCGCCGCCGCCGGGCCAAGGCCUCCUAUUCCUUCCUUCUGGAUCUCUCAAUUUCUCCCUGUCAAAAAGGAUUCCAGUACUACUCUGGUUUCAGCCAGACUUACAUGCUACUACUCCAACCAGAAGCGGCUAAUCUGCUAUCGUUUUUCUCUUCAACGUUUGCAGAUUAUAAGCUGGACUUCUAGACCUAGCCACCGGGGUGCAGAUUUGCCACUGAGCAAUGGGGUGUCUCCCCAAACCAAGGAACUGGAUUCCAUGGGUGUUGCCGCUAAUGAUUCUUGCACUACUCUGGGUGCUCCAAGCUUUGAGAGCAAUGGCACGGGUAGAAACGAGAAUGAGAAUGUUAUGAUAGCUGAAAAAAAUGUCAUGGUGGUUUCACAUACCGAGAGCAAUGAAGAUGACAAUUCUGAUGGCAGGAGCACCAUUGGAGAAAUGGGAGAUCUGAACAGUGCAACUGUGGCGCCAAGGGUUUUACCCUUCCAUUUAUUGGAAAAUAUUACAAAUGGUUUCUCUGAGGACCGGAAACUUGGUGCGGGUUCGUAUGGAAAUGUUUACAUGGGAGAACAUGAAGACGGGGAAAGAAUUGCUGUGAAGGUGCUUCAUUACACUCCAGGACUUGAUGAGCAAUUUGAGAAGGAGUAUCUCAACCAUGCAAGCCUCCAACACAAAAAUAUUGUGCGCUUAGUUGGCUAUUCUCAUGAAACUCAUUGUGUAUACCAACCAUAUAAUGGGAAAAUGGUUUUCGCGGAGAUGAGAAAAAGGGCGCUUUGCUUUGAAUAUAUGACUAAUGGAAGCCUUGACAAAUUUCUUUCUGAUGAAUCUAGUGGACACGAUUGGUGCACACGCUAUGCAAUAAUUAAGGGGAUCUGUGAGGGUAUGCAAUACCUGCAUGAGGAAUUGGGUUCCCCUUUAUAUCAUUUGGAUUUAAAACCAAGCAAUGUAUUGUUGGAUGAGAACAUGGUUCCAAAAAUAGCAGAUUUCGGCUUGUCAAGGCUCGGAGGAGAACACACACAAAUGACAAAAAAUGCUAUGGGAACACCUGGGUACUUACCGCCAGAGUACAUAGAUGCAGGUGUAAUCUCAAUUAAGUUUGACAUAUUCAGUUUGGGUGUUGUAAUCAUAAAGAUAAUGACCGGACCAACAGGUUACUUCAGGAUUGCUGAAAUGUCUCCCAAAGAAUUCGCCGAGCUUGUACAUGUGAAUUGGAAGAAUAUGCUACAAGCAAAAUCAUUGUAUGAGCCAUAUUCCGAACAAGCAAAGCAAUGCAUCGAAAUAGCUUUACGCUGUGUGGAUGCUGAUAGACACAAGAGACCGAGCAUAGGGGUAAUCAUCGAUAAGCUAAAUGAGAUGGAGACUGUGCUACAACUUCUUGAGGCGUCAAGGAAUGACACAGCAAUAAAGAAAAGCAGGCUCGACACGAGCCUGCGAGGCUAUCCAAGCAAUCAACAAGCUAGUUCUUCGUGUGCGUGCGUUCUUGUGUUUCCGGCCGGCUGGUCGUUGUGUACGUACGUAUACGUUGGUGUUGUUGCUGCAGCUUCACGUUGUGUUGCGGUGCACCUCGACAUGUGCCCUUGCAUUUCAACCGAGUGUGAGUUUAUGGAUAUCCGGCUAAACAAUUUUGUAGACUACACACUGCACGUAACGGACAACAGAGGUAAGGUGCAACAAGUAACAGUAACUACCGCUAGUUACCCAGCAAGCGAGACGGCAACCUUCGAGCUGAUCCGACCGAGAAUCAAGAUGAUCGACAUAUGCUGGCUUGAGCAGGGAAUUAUGAGCGUAAUGGACGUGCAUCCGACAAAGCCUUGGAUUUUGCUAGGUCAUUCAACUGGAAAGAUCUCCCUUUGGAACCAUCAGACCCAGGAAAUAAUGAGGAAAUGCAACACUAACGACGAGGGAAAUAAAGGUCAUGCGAUUAGUGCUGUUAAAUUCAUCGCACGGAUGAAUUGGUUUGUGAUGGGGAGUUUCAAUGGGCUCAUCCAGGCGUAUUCAUGUAACAAAGCACUGAAGAGGCUGAAUCAAUUCAAAGCCGGUGACCGCUGGGUCGAUUCACUGGCGGUUCACCCGAGCCAGCCGUUAGUUCUGUCAGCGUGCGACCGGCAGAUCAAAUUAUGGAACUGGGAAACUGGCUGGGCGUGCAUUAGGACAUUCGACGCGCACUCAGGUGACGUGAAGCAAGCCAAGUUUAAUCCGCAGGGUGUGGGCAACACAUUUGCUAGUGCUUCCUUGGACGGAACAGUAAAGAUCUGGAGCAUCUAUUCUCACACGCCUAUCUCGACACCAAUGCACAGUUCUCCGGAUGAACUGAAAUCGGUUGAUUAUUUUAUUGCACGUGGUGAUAGGUUAUAUAUUGUCGCAGGGUCUACGAACGGGACUGCACAUGUAUGA
This 2931-nucleotide ribosomal RNA is filed under the name Triticum aestivum (bread wheat). RNAcentral's name for it is "partial small subunit ribosomal RNA". Lineage: Eukaryota; Viridiplantae; Streptophyta; Magnoliopsida; Poales; Poaceae. The record is from RNAcentral.